RNAcentral lists this ribosomal RNA (893 nucleotides) under uncultured bacterium. RNAcentral describes it as "bacterial SSU rRNA". It matches the Rfam family "Bacterial small subunit ribosomal RNA", at positions 505 to 1398 of the family's 1533-position model. The record is from RNAcentral.
GUGUCAGCCGCCGCGGUAAUACAGAGGGUGCGAGCGUUAAUCGGAUUUACUGGGCGUAAAGCGUGCGUAGGCGGCUUUUUAAGUCGGAUGUGAAGUCCCCGAGCUUAACUUGGGAAUUGCAUUCGAUACUGGGAAGCUAGAGUAUGGGAGAGGAUGGUAGAAUUCCAGGUGUAGCGGUGAAAUGCGUAGAGAUCUGGAGGAAUACCGAUGGCGAAGGCAGCCAUCUGGCCUAAUACUGACGCUGAGGUACGAAAGCAUGGGGAGCAAACAGGAUUAGAUACCCUGGUAGUCCAUGCCGUAAACGAUGUCUACUAGCCGUUGGGGCCUUUGAGGCUUUAGUGGCGCAGCUAACGCGAUAAGUAGACCGCCUGGGGAGUACGGUCGCAAGACUAAAACUCAAAUGAAUUGACGGGGGCCCGCACAAGCGGUGGAGCAUGUGGUUUAAUUCGAUGCAACGCGAAGAACCUUACCUGGCCUUGACAUACUAGAAACUUUCCAGAGAUGGAUUGGUGCCUUCGGGAAUCUAGAUACAGGUGCUGCAUGGCUGUCGUCAGCUCGUGUCGUGAGAUGUUGGGUUAAGUCCCGCAACGAGCGCAACCCUUUUCCUUACUUGCCAGCAUUUCGGAUGGGAACUUUAAGGAUACUGCCAGUGACAAACUGGAGGAAGGCGGGGACGACGUCAAGUCAUCAUGGCCCUUACGGCCAGGGCUACACACGUGCUACAAUGGUCGGUACAAAGGGUUGCUACACAGCGAUGUGAUGCUAAUCUCAAAAAGCCGAUCGUAGUCCGGAUUGGAGUCUGCAACUCGACUCCGUGAAGUCGGAAUCGCUAGUAAUCGCGGAUCAGAAUGCCGCGGUGAAUACGUUCCCGGGCCUUGCACACACCGCCCGUC